RNAcentral lists this ribosomal RNA (942 nucleotides) under Staphylococcus pseudintermedius. Its description in RNAcentral is "bacterial SSU rRNA". It matches the Rfam family "Bacterial small subunit ribosomal RNA", at positions 152 to 1087 of the family's 1533-position model. Lineage: Bacteria; Bacillati; Bacillota; Bacilli; Caryophanales; Staphylococcaceae. The record is from RNAcentral.
GGAAACCGGGGCUAAUGCCGGAUAACAUGUUGAACCGCAUGGUUCUACAGUGAAAGACGGUCUUGCUGUCACUUAUAGAUGGACCCGCGCCGUAUUAGCUAGUUGGUGGGGUACGGCCUACCAAGGCGACGAUACGUAGCCGACCUGAGAGGGUGAUCGGCCACACUGGAACUGAGACACGGUCCAGACUCCUACGGGAGGCAGCAGUAGGGAAUCUUCCGCAAUGGGCGAAGCCUGACGGAGCACGCCGCGUGAGUGAUGAAGGUCUUCGGAUCGUAAAGCUCUGUUGUUAGGGAAGAACAAAUGUGUAAGUAACUGUGCACAUCUUGACGGUACCUAACCAGAAAGCCACGGCUAACUACGUGCCAGCAGCCGCGGUAAUACGUAGGUGGCAAGCGUUAUCCGGAAUUAUUGGGCGUAAAGCGCGCGUAGGCGGUUUUUAAGUCUGAUGUGAAAGCCCACGGCUCAACCGUGGAGGGUCAUUGGAACUGGAAAACUUGAGUGCAGAAGAGGAAAGUGGAAUUCCAUGUGUAGCGGUGAAAUGCGCAGAGAUAUGGAGGAACACCAGUGGCGAAGGCGGCUUCUGGUCUGCAACUGACGCUGAUGUGCGAAAGCGUGGGGAUCAAACAGGAUUAGAUACCCUGGUAGUCCACGCCGUAAACGAUGAGUGCUAAGUGUUAGGGGGUUCCGCCCCUUAUGCUGCAGCUAACGCAUUAAGCACUCCGCCUGGGGAGUACGGUCGCAAGACUGAAACUCAAAGGAAUUGACGGGGACCCGCACAAGCGGUGGAGCAUGUGGUUUAAUUCGAAGCAACGCGAAGAACCUUACCAAAUCUUGACAUCCUUUGACCGCUCUAGAGAUAGAGUUUUCCUCUUCGGAGGACAAAGUGACAGGUGGUGCAUGGUUGUCGUCAGCUCGUGUCUGAGAUGUUGGGUUAAGUCC